RNAcentral lists this ribosomal RNA (510 nucleotides) under uncultured bacterium. RNAcentral's name for it is "partial 16S ribosomal RNA". It matches the Rfam family "Bacterial small subunit ribosomal RNA", at positions 28 to 507 of the family's 1533-position model. The record is from RNAcentral.
GACGAACGCUGGCGGCGUGCUUAACACAUGCAAGUCGAACGAAGAGCGAUGGAAGCUUGCUUCUAUCAAUCUUAGUGGCGAACGGGUGAGUAACGCGUAAUCAACCUGCCCUUCAGAGGGGGACAACAGUUGGAAACGACUGCUAAUACCGCAUACGAUCUAAUCUCGGCAUCGAGGAUAGAUGAAAGGUGGCCUCUACAUGUAAGCUAUCACUGAAGGAGGGGAUUGCGUCUGUUUAGCUAGUUGGAGGGGUAACGGCCCACCAAGGCGAUGAUCAGUAGCCGGUCUGAGAGGAUGAACGGCCACAUUGGGACUGAGACACGGCCCAGACGCCUACGGGAGGCAGCAGUGGGGAAUCUUCCGCAAUGGACGAAAGUCUGACGGAGCAACGCCGCGUGAGUGAUGACGGCCUUCGGGUUGUAAAGCUCUGUUAAUCGGGACGAAAGGCCUUCUUGCGAAUAGGGAGAAGGAUUGACGGUACCGGAAUAGAAAGCCACGGCUAACUACGUG